Molecule: long non-coding RNA, 364 nt
Organism: Lucilia sericata (common green bottle fly)
Lineage: Eukaryota; Metazoa; Arthropoda; Insecta; Diptera; Calliphoridae
Exons: 2
Source: RefSeq, a predicted model, not a curated record
GGUGCGUGUUGAAGCAUAACGUAAGCGCGUGAUGAAAAAUAUAUAAAGGAAAAAAAUAAUAUACAAAAAAAAAAAAUAAGGAAAAAAGUGUAGAAAAAAAUAUAUAUGAAAGAAAAAAUUAUGAAAAUAUUAUAAAAGAAAUUAUAAAAUUAAAUAGAAAAGAAAUUUAAUAAAAAAAUUUUAAAUAAAAAUAAAUUUUAAUAAAUAAAAAGCUGCUAUACAAAAAGAAAAAAAUUUUCAGUUUUUGCUGUUUUUUCCCAAAUUCCUCUUUAACCAGGCUUUCAUAACAUAACCAGAGAAAAAAAAAUUUACUACAUAAAAGGUGUAGAAAAAAAAAAAGAAAUACCCCUCCAAAGAAGAAAAG